RNAcentral lists this transfer RNA (87 nucleotides) under Bacteroidetes bacterium ADurb.Bin012. RNAcentral's name for it is "tRNA-Leu". It matches the Rfam family "tRNA". Rfam says of the family: Transfer RNA (tRNA) molecules are approximately 80 nucleotides in length. Their secondary structure includes four short double-helical elements and three loops (D, anti-codon, and T loops). Lineage: Bacteria; Pseudomonadati; Bacteroidota. RNAcentral also lists the same sequence under 2 other names. The record is from RNAcentral.
GCCCAGGUGGUGGAAUUGGUAGACACGCUACUUUGAGGGGGUAGUGUCCGUUCGGGCGUGCAAGUUCGAGUCUUGUCCUGGGCACCA